Molecule: ribosomal RNA, 253 nt
Filed under: uncultured bacterium
Lineage: Bacteria
Description: partial 16S ribosomal RNA
Rfam family: Bacterial small subunit ribosomal RNA
Source: RNAcentral
UACGAAGGGAGCUAGCGUUGUUCGGAAUUACUGGGCGUAAAGGGCGUGUAGGCGGUACCAUAAGUCAGAUGUGAAAGCCCUAGGCUUAACCUAGGAGGUGCAUUUGAUACUGUGGAACUAGAGAUCGAGAGAGGAAAGUGGAAUUACGAGUGUAGAGGUGAAAUUCGUAGAUAUUCGUAAGAACACCAGUGGCGAAGGCGACUUUCUGGCUUGAUACUGACGCUAAGGCGCGAAAGCGUGGGGAGCAAACAGG